GACGAACGCUGGCGGCGUGCUUAACACAUGCAAGUCGAACGAAGAGCGAUGGAAGCUUGCUUCUAUCAAUCUUAGUGGCGAACGGGUGAGUAACGCGUAAUCAACCUGCCCUUCAGAGGGGGACAACAGUUGGAAACGACUGCUAAUACCGCAUACGAUCUAAUCUCGGCAUCGAGGAUAGAUGAAAGGUGGCCUCUACAUGUAAGCUAUCACUGAAGGAGGGGAUUGCGUCUGAUUAGCUAGUUGGAGGGGUAACGGCCCACCAAGGCGAUGAUCAGUAGCCGGUCUGAGAGGAUGAACGGCCACAUUGGGACUGAGACACGGCCCAGACUCCUACGGGAGGCAGCAGUGGGGAAUCUUCCGCAAUGGACGAAAGUCUGACGGAGCAACGCCGCGUGAGUGAUGACGGCUUUCGGGUUGUAAAGCUCUGUUAAUCGGGACGAAAGGCCUUCUUGCGAAGAGUGAGAAGGAUUGACGGUACCGGAAUAGAAAGCCACGGCUAACUACGU
Molecule: ribosomal RNA, 509 nt
Filed under: uncultured bacterium
Lineage: Bacteria
Description: partial 16S ribosomal RNA
Rfam family: Bacterial small subunit ribosomal RNA
Source: RNAcentral